CACACCGUAAACGAUGAAUGCUAGGUGUAGGUGGUAUCGACCCCAUCUGUGCCGUAGUAAACACAAUAAGCAUUCCGCCUGGGGAGUACGGUCGCAAGAUUAAAACUCAAAGGAAUUGACGGGGGCCCGCACAAGCAGCGGAGCAUGUGGUUUAAUUCGAAGCAACGCGAAGAACCUUACCAGGUCUUGACAUCCAGUAAAGCCUGUAGAGAUACAGAUUCCCUUCGGGGGUACUGAGACAGGUGG
Molecule: ribosomal RNA, 246 nt
Filed under: uncultured Eubacteriales bacterium
Lineage: Bacteria; Bacillati; Bacillota; Clostridia; Eubacteriales
Description: uncultured Clostridiales bacterium partial 16S ribosomal RNA
Rfam family: Bacterial small subunit ribosomal RNA
Source: RNAcentral